RNAcentral lists this unclassified non-coding RNA (19 nucleotides) under Chlamydomonas reinhardtii. RNAcentral's name for it is "small RNA Cre_0944". The record is from RNAcentral. Lineage: Eukaryota; Viridiplantae; Chlorophyta; Chlorophyceae; Chlamydomonadales; Chlamydomonadaceae.
CAGGGCAAUAUGCACGGUU